Molecule: ribosomal RNA, 506 nt
Filed under: uncultured bacterium
Lineage: Bacteria
Description: partial 16S ribosomal RNA
Rfam family: Bacterial small subunit ribosomal RNA
Source: RNAcentral
AGUGAACGCUGGCGGUAGGCCUAACACAUGCAAGUCGAACGGCAGCACAGGAGAGCUUGCUCUCUGGGUGGCGAGUGGCGGACGGGUGAGGAAUACAUCGGAAUCUACUCUGUCGUGGGGGAUAACGUAGGGAAACUUACGCUAAUACCGCAUACGACCUACGGGUGAAAGCAGGGGACCUUCGGGCCUUGCGCGAUUGAAUGAGCCGAUGUCGGAUUAGCUAGUUGGCGGGGUAAAGGCCCACCAAGGCGACGAUCCGUAGCUGGUCUGAGAGGAUGAUCAGCCACACUGGAACUGAGAAACGGUCCGGACUCCUACGGGAGGCAGCAGUGGGGAAUAUUGGACAAUGGGCGCAAGCCUGAUCCAGCCAUACCGCGUGGGUGAAGAAGGCCUUCGGGUUGUAAAGCCCUUUUGUUGGGAAAGAAAUCCAGCUGGCUAAUACCCGGUUGGGAUGACGGUACCCAAAGAAUAAGCACCGGCUAACUUCGUGCCAGCAGCCGCCGUAA